UACGUAGGGUGCGAGCGUUGUCCGGAAUUAUUGGGCGUAAAGGGCUCGUAGGCGGUCUGUCGCGUCGAAAGCGAAAACUCAGGGCUUAACCCUGAGCCUGCUUCCGAUACGGGCAGACUAGAGGUAUGCAGGGGAGAACGGAAUUCCUGGUGUAGCGGUGAAAUGCGCAGAUAUCAGGAGGAACACCGGUGGCGAAGGCGGUUCUCUGGGCAUUACCUGACGCUGAGGAGCGAAAGCCAGGGGAGCAAACGGG
Molecule: ribosomal RNA, 253 nt
Filed under: uncultured bacterium
Lineage: Bacteria
Description: partial 16S ribosomal RNA
Rfam family: Bacterial small subunit ribosomal RNA
Source: RNAcentral